UCAUUAGAUACCCGGGUAGUCCACACUGUAAACGAUGAUAGCUAGGUGUGGGGGGUCUGACCCCUUCCGUGCCGGAGUUAACGCAAUAAGCUAUCCACCUGGGGAGUACGGCCGCAAGGUUGAAACUCAAAGGAAUUGACGGGGGCCCGCACAAGCAGUGGAUUAUGUGGUUUAAUUCGAGCCGGUAACUGGGGUGAAGUCGUAACAAGGUAGC
RNAcentral lists this ribosomal RNA (214 nucleotides) under uncultured bacterium. RNAcentral's name for it is "partial 16S ribosomal RNA". It matches the Rfam family "Bacterial small subunit ribosomal RNA", at positions 775 to 975 of the family's 1533-position model. The record is from RNAcentral.